GCUGCUUUUGGUAAACAGUUACACAGGAUACUUCACAAGAUACGUGAAGAGAGUCUUUGAGGUAAAAUCAAAUCCCUAUUAGGAUAAAUGAUUGAGUGUUCCUGUAAAGAAUUGUUCCCCUGGUUCAAGCAACCAGAUUUCAUUCCCAGAUGAUCAAAAAUGGACUUGAUGAAAUGGAAAAGCACUGAUAGAAACAGAAUGCUGUCAUUAUUCCCAGUUCACAGAUGGGGAGGUAAAAACCCAGAGCUUAAUAGCAUGUCCAAGAUCACAUAACUAUUCCACUGCUCAAAAUUACUCCUGAAGGGAUGAGGACACCAGGAUAUGCCACCGGACCACUGAAGGAAUGGUGAUGGUAUGAAGAAAGUAUUUUUAAUGAGCAGAGCCAUUGUUUGCUCUGCUCUGUCCUCACCCCUCAAGAGAAUUUCCCUUAUUAUUAUGAAAACUUUUUAUCUUAAAAGAUAUUACAUGUUAAUGGAACUGUCGUUUAACAAAUGUUUUAUAAGUGUACCAAUCAAGCACAUUGUCGAAAUAAAAGAUAUGAAAUAAGUGAAAAAAA
This 556-nucleotide long non-coding RNA is filed under the name Homo sapiens (human). RNAcentral's name for it is "non-protein coding LINC01611:13". Lineage: Eukaryota; Metazoa; Chordata; Mammalia; Primates; Hominidae. The record is from RNAcentral.